UGACUCGGGGUGCCCGUAAGGGCUGAGACUUUACCCGUAUUACCUGACCUGGAUAAUGCCAGCGUAGGGAAGUCACG
Molecule: non-coding RNA, 77 nt
Filed under: Chimaeribacter arupi
Lineage: Bacteria; Pseudomonadati; Pseudomonadota; Gammaproteobacteria; Enterobacterales; Yersiniaceae
Description: TPP riboswitch (THI element)
Rfam family: TPP riboswitch aptamer (THI element)
About the family: Vitamin B(1) in its active form thiamin pyrophosphate (TPP) is an essential coenzyme that is synthesised by coupling of pyrimidine and thiazole moieties in bacteria. The previously detected thiamin-regulatory element, thi box was extended, resulting in a new, highly conserved RNA secondary structure, the THI element, which is widely distributed in eubacteria and also occurs in some archaea.
Source: RNAcentral